This 484-nucleotide ribosomal RNA is filed under the name uncultured bacterium. RNAcentral's name for it is "partial 16S ribosomal RNA". It matches the Rfam family "Bacterial small subunit ribosomal RNA", at positions 30 to 507 of the family's 1533-position model. The record is from RNAcentral.
AUUGAACGCUGGUGGCAGGCCUAACACAUGCAAGUCGAGCGGAUGAAGGGAGCUUGCUCCUGGAUUCAGCGGCGGACGGGUGAGUAAUGCCUAGGAAUCUGCCUGGUAGUGGGGGAUAACGUCCGGAAACGGGCGCUAAUACCGUAUACGUCCUGAGGGAGAAAGUGGGGGAUCUUCGGACCUCACGCUAUCAGAUGAGCCUAGGUCGGAUUAGCUAGUUGGUGGGGUAAAGGCCUACCAAGGCGACGAUCCGUAACUGGUCUGAGAGGAUGAUCAGUCACACUGGAACUGAGACACGGUCCAGACUCCUACGGGAGGCAGCAGUGGGGAAUAUUGGACAAUGGGCGAAAGCCUGAUCCAGCCAUGCCGCGUGUGUGAAGAAGGUCUUCGGAUUGUAAAGCACUUUAAGUUGGGAGGAAGGGCAGUAAGUUAAUACCUUGCUGUUUUGACGUUACCAACAGAAUAAGCACCGGCUAACUUCGUG